CACACCCCACCCACCCCCGAUCUAGAUCCCCUCCACCUCCUGUCUUCUCCAUAGCUUGCUAGGUUCCCCGAAUCGAGAGGAAAUCAACAUGCAUCGGCUGGGAGAGGAGCUUGGCGACGGAGAAGAGGGAGCGGACCUCGGUGGCGGGAGACCGGCUGUUCGUGUGGGCGCAGAUCUCAUUGGCGGAGUCCGGCAGAUCGCGAGGGCCUGGAUCUUGAGAUUUGGAGGAAUCAUCAACAUUGCACCGCCAACCUAGAAUAGCAGCAGCCAGUCAAUAGAAUUUGUUGCUUUAACAACUUCCGAAGGAGUUCCCUCUUGGUAUGGUGACCAAGCAGGAGAGAUAACACAGGACUACCUCCACACCACCGGAAACGCUCUUCAACCAUCGGAAACGCUCUUCAAGCAGGAGAGAUAACACAGUACUACCAUAGCCCGGUGGGUGUUGUGCUCUUCAACCAUUUGGAGACGGACUUCGCCAUGAAGCCUGAAGGCUGCGUCGCGCAGAUGAUCGUCUAGGAGGAUUCGGGUCCAUUGGCGUUUGAACACCGAGGCUUGGUAGAUACAUCUAGAGAAAUGGUGUGGUUGUUUGCCUCUGAUGUUAAAUGGGAUCUCAUGAUAUCUUCGAGUUGAGAUGUUCAAUGUUGCAUCCAUGAACACUACAAGUGCUAAGAUUGUUCUUUGACCAUAGUCCUUCGUUUAUUUUGCAUUGGACCUGUCUUGAUUUCCAUCCAUGAAUACUGCAUCUAAAU
Molecule: long non-coding RNA, 749 nt
Organism: Aegilops tauschii subsp. strangulata
Lineage: Eukaryota; Viridiplantae; Streptophyta; Magnoliopsida; Poales; Poaceae
Source: RefSeq, a predicted model, not a curated record